CAAUAGCAUAUAUUAACGUUGUUGCAGUUGAAAAGCUCGUAGUUGAACUUUUGGUAGGAGCGACCUGGCCUUGGGCGCAUGCCCUUGUUUGCCGUGUGUCGUAUCUGGCCAUCCUUUUCCGCUUCGGCGGGAAUCCUUUACUGUGAGUAAACUGGAGUGCUCAAAACAAGACGUUUGUUUGGUACAUUAAAGCAUGGAAUAAUAAGAUAGGACCUGGUUACUAUUUUGUUGGUUUGCAUAGCUAGGUAAUGAUUAACAGGGACAGUUGGGGGUAUUCGUAUUUAAUUGUCAGAGGUGAAAUUCUUGGAUUUAUGAAAGACGAACGACUGCGAAAGCAUUAACCAAGGAUGUUUUCAUUAA
Molecule: ribosomal RNA, 360 nt
Filed under: uncultured eukaryote
Lineage: Eukaryota
Description: partial 18S ribosomal RNA
Rfam family: Eukaryotic small subunit ribosomal RNA
Source: RNAcentral